RNAcentral lists this ribosomal RNA (497 nucleotides) under uncultured bacterium. RNAcentral's name for it is "partial 16S ribosomal RNA". It matches the Rfam family "Bacterial small subunit ribosomal RNA", at positions 28 to 507 of the family's 1533-position model. The record is from RNAcentral.
GAUGAACGCUGGCGGCGUGCCUAAUACAUGCAAGUCGAGCGAACAGACGAGGAGCUUGCUCCUCUGACGUUAGCGGCGGACGGGUGAGUAACACGUGGAUAACCUACCUAUAAGACUGGGAUAACUUCGGGAAACCGGAGCUAAUACCGGAUAAUAUAUUGAACCGCAUGGUUCAAUAGUGAAAGACGGUUUUGCUGUCACUUAUAGAUGGAUCCGCGCCGCAUUAGCUAGUUGGUAAGGUAACGGCUUACCAAGGCAACGAUGCGUAGCCGACCUGAGAGGGUGAGCGGCCACCCUGGAACUGAGACACGGUCCAGACUCCUACGGGAGGCAGCAGUAGGGAAUCUUCCGCAAUGGGCGAAAGCCUGACGGAGCAACGCCGCGUGAGUGAUGAAGGUCUUCGGAUCGUAAAACUCUGUUAUUAGGGAAGAACAAAUGUGUAAGUAACUAUGCACGUCUUGACGGUACCUAAUCAGAAAGCCACGGCUAACUACGUG